This 253-nucleotide ribosomal RNA is filed under the name uncultured bacterium. RNAcentral's name for it is "partial 16S ribosomal RNA". It matches the Rfam family "Bacterial small subunit ribosomal RNA", at positions 524 to 776 of the family's 1533-position model. The record is from RNAcentral.
UACGUAGGGUGCGAGCGUUAAUCGGAAUUACUGGGCGUAAAGCGUGCGCAGGCGGUUUUGUAAGCCAGAUGUGAAAUCCCCGGGCUUAACCUGGGAAUGGCAUUUGGGACUGCAAGGCUCGAGUGCGGUAGAGGAGACUGGAAUUCCUGGUGUAGCAGUGAAAUGCGUAGAUAUCAGGAGGAACACCGAUGGCGAAGGCAGGUCUCUGGGCUGACACUGACGCUCAUGCACGAAAGCGUGGGGAGCAAACAGG